UUUUUUAUUUUGUUUUUGUUUCUGUUUUUGUUUUUCCCCUUGGGAUCAGAUGUCUCUGACUGACCAGAUACCAUUCUAUCUAAACAGGGAAUUCCCAAUCUCAACCCCUCCCCGACCCCUGGUUGCUCCCCCUAAUUCUCCUCCUCUUUUAUUUACCCUUUGACCUGAACAUAAUAUAAAUAUUUAAUCUCCUUUAUUACCUGAAAAUUAGCUGUGUUUAUUCUGUUUAUUUAGUGACGGUUACUUAAAAACCAAACGAAAACUCUAGGCUUGGGUCAAACAACCAGUUGAUCUGAUUUUUCCACUGAGGUAAUCCCUGAUGAUAUUUAAUUUCAAUAAUUGACUGGUUGCUCCCCAACCAGUCAAUUAUUAUUUCAGGUUUUCCCAGCCUCCCCCUCCACGCCGCCACAUCCAUUCUCUGCCUAGUAGAAACCCACUCACCUCUCAAAACCUACUUCUAGCACCCCCUCCUCUGUGAACACGCUCCUGACCCCCUGACCAUCUGGCCGCCUCUGCAGCUGAACCAGCGCUCCCCUCUCCGUGCUCCCCAGCGCCUUGGGUGUCAUCGCAGCCAGCCCCUGGGACCCACCAGCAGGCGACGAAAUGGAAGCUCUCUCGAUGGGAUUCUGGAGCACACUUCCUCACUUCAGAUACAGACCCUACAACUUUCUCGUUCUGAGACCCAAUGCAAGUGUCCUAACUUUUCUAUGGACCAGGGAGCCCAUCUUACUCGGUUUCCUUGCUAUGCUUCUGGCCUCUCAGGGAUGGAUGCGAUCCUCAUGGGGUGCAUAGAGGAGGGAGAAAAGGAACUAACCAGAGGAAUAAAUAUGGGGAUGGGGAAAGUUCGAAGGAAGAGGUGGGAAAAGAGGAGGAUUUUUCUAGAAAGGAAAGAGCAGAUCACCUGGAGGCGUCGGAGACACUUCUAACCCCUUAAGUACACUGCACCUCACCCUCGCUGCCACUGCGGCCCAGGUUUGGGCGGCGUGGGUCACUGUCAGCCAGCUCUGUCUGCUGCGCACCAGCGAGGACUGGGGCUGAGGCUCAGGUGCAGUGACAGGAUGAGGCCUGAGCCGGCAGGUCCCAGCAGUCUGUCCUGGCACAGCCCACAAAGUCUGCC
This 1117-nucleotide long non-coding RNA is filed under the name Canis lupus familiaris (dog). Its description in RNAcentral is "lncRNA (ENSCAFG00000050539.1, ENSCAFG00845025028.1)". The record is from RNAcentral. Lineage: Eukaryota; Metazoa; Chordata; Mammalia; Carnivora; Canidae.